UCCCUGAUGGUCCAGUGGCUAAAACUCCGUGCUCCCAAUACAGGGGGCCUGGGUUUGAUCCCUGGUCAGGGAA
Molecule: non-coding RNA, 73 nt
Organism: Ovis aries (sheep)
Lineage: Eukaryota; Metazoa; Chordata; Mammalia; Artiodactyla; Bovidae
Source: Rfam